ACACAUACUGUAUACUAACCGUCUCAGUUUGAGUAUUAGUAGAGUGUCUUGCUGUGGGGAAUCUAGAUUCCACGUGCUAUUGGAGUGUAUGCAAGGUUCUGAUGUUUAAAAGUACUUGUCGUUUAACUGAAACAAUUUUUAUUGUUCGGUUCACUCCUAUCUUUUUCUGAUUUAUGGCCCUCUCCCAUAUGGCACAUACUCUUACUGACUAUUUAUUUCUGCCACAUACUCCUUUGUAUGUUGUGUUUAAAUAUCUAAUUUUAUUUGUAUAUGCAUAUAUAUAAGCACACAUUUCCCUUCAGUAUUUUGUUGUGUUGUGUUUAAAUAUUUAAUUUUUAUUACUAUGUUGUUACAAUAGUUCCGGCGAUCUUCUAUAAUUUAAGGUUCUCAUUCCUUAGAGCUCCAAUUCUUGCUAUACCAUAUGAUAAAUCUCAU
Molecule: long non-coding RNA, 435 nt
Filed under: Phoenix dactylifera (date palm)
Lineage: Eukaryota; Viridiplantae; Streptophyta; Magnoliopsida; Arecales; Arecaceae
Description: long non-coding RNA (PDAC_LNC003840)
Source: RNAcentral